This 1266-nucleotide ribosomal RNA is filed under the name metagenome. RNAcentral describes it as "SSU rRNA". It matches the Rfam family "Eukaryotic small subunit ribosomal RNA", at positions 558 to 1772 of the family's 1831-position model. The record is from RNAcentral.
AGUCUGGUGCCAGCAGCCGCGGUAAUUCCAUCUCCAAUAGUGUAUAUUAAUGUUCCUGCAGUUAUUCGAUGCUCGUAGUUGGAUUUCUGGGGGCUGAGAUUGGAAGGUGGCCAAGGUCACCGCCGAACUCUUCCUUCAUCCACCUGUUAACGUUGUCCGGGAUUUGUUUCUCGGCUUCAGGCUCAGGUAUUUUGCCCUUUCUAUAUAUUCAUUUAUUUAUCUUCCUUUUGAGUAAAUUAUAGUGUUUCAGGCAGGCGUGCGCCGGAAUACUUUAGCAUGGAAUAAUCGAAUUGGACCGUGUUUUCUUAUAGAAUUCUUCCUUAUUUGUUGGUUUCAAGGACACGGAAAUGGUUAAUAGGGAUAGUGUUUUCAGGGGAGGCAUUAGUAUUUAAUUUCCAGAGGUGAAAUUCUUUGAAAUAUUAAAGACUAACUUAUGCGAAAGCAUUUAUUUUGCCAAUAAUGUUUUCAUUAAUCAUUGAACGAAAGUUAGGGGAUCAAAGACGAUCAGAUACCGUCCUAGUCUUAACCAUAAACGUUGCCGACUAGGGAUCGGAGGGCGUGCACAUUCCGCCUUCGGCACCUUACGAGAAAUCAAAGUCUUUUGGGUUCUGGGGGUAGUAUGGUCGCAAGGCUGAAACUUAAAGGAAUUGACGGAAGGGCACCACCAGGAGUGGAGCUUGCGGCUCAAUUUGACUCAACACGGGAAAUCUUACCAGGUCCAGACAUAGCGAGGAUUGACAGAUUGAUAGCUCUUUCUUGAUUCUAUGGGUAUUUAUUUUAAUUUUGGUGGUGCAUGGCCGUUCUUAGUUGGUGGAGUGAUUUGUCUGGUUAAUUCCGUUAAACGAACGAGACCUCAGCCUGCUAAAUAGUUACCUGUCUUUCUUUUACGAGACUUGAUAACUUCUUAGAGGGACGUUGUGUGCAACCACAAGGAAGUUGAGGCAAUAACAGGUCUGUGAUGCCCUUAGAUGUCCUGGGCCGCACGCGUGCUACACUGAUACGUACAACAAGGUAUAUGCAUUUAUGCAUCGAUGCUGCUCCGAAAUAGACACAGCUAAAUCUUCUAAAAUACGUACCGUGCUGCGGAUAGAUCGUUGAAAUUAUGGAUCUUGAAGGUGGAAUUCCUAGUAAGCGCGGGUCAUCAACCCGCGUUGAUUACGUCCCUGCCCUUUGUACACACCGCCCGUCGCUCCUACCAAUUUCGAGUGGCUCGGUGAACCUCUUUGGACUGUCGAGCAAUCGCGAAAUUAGAGUGAACCUGGUCAC